This 503-nucleotide ribosomal RNA is filed under the name uncultured bacterium. Its description in RNAcentral is "partial 16S ribosomal RNA". It matches the Rfam family "Bacterial small subunit ribosomal RNA", at positions 29 to 523 of the family's 1533-position model. The record is from RNAcentral.
AUUGAACGCUGGCGGCAUGCCUUACACAUGCAAGUCGAACGGCAGCACGGGAGCUUGCUCCUGGUGGCGAGUGGCGAACGGGUGAGUAAUACAUCGGAACGUACCCAGUAGUGGGGGAUAACGCACCGAAAGGUGCGCUAAUACCGCAUACGACCUACGGGUGAAAGCGGGGGACCGUAAGGCCUCGCGCUAUUGGAGCGGCCGAUGUCUGAUUAGCUAGUUGGCGGGGUAAAAGCCCACCAAGGCGACGAUCAGUAGCUGGUCUGAGAGGACGAUCAGCCACACUGGGACUGAGACACGGCCCAGACUCCUACGGGAGGCAGCAGUGGGGAAUUUUGGACAAUGGGGGCAACCCUGAUCCAGCAAUGCCGCGUGUGCGAAGAAGGCCUUCGGGUUGCAAAGCACUUUUGUCAGGGAAGAAAUCUUUCAGGCUAAUACCCUUGGAAGGAUGACGGUACCUGAAGAAUAAGCACCGGCUAACUACGUGCCAGCAGCCGCCGCGG